This 253-nucleotide ribosomal RNA is filed under the name uncultured bacterium. RNAcentral's name for it is "partial 16S ribosomal RNA". It matches the Rfam family "Bacterial small subunit ribosomal RNA", at positions 524 to 776 of the family's 1533-position model. The record is from RNAcentral.
GACGAACCGUGCGAACGUUGUUCGGAAUCACUGGGCUUAAAGCGUGUGUAGGCGGCUGUCUAAGUACCUUGUGAAAUCCCACGGCUCAACCGUGGAACUGCUUGGUAUACUGGACGUCUUGAGCCAGCUAGGGGCUACCGGAACAAAUGGUGGAGCGGUGAAAUGCGUAGAUAUCAUUUGGAACGCCAAUGGUGAAAACAGGUAGCUGGGGCUGUGCUGACGCUGAGACACGAAAGCCAGGGGAGCGAACGGG